UUCCGGUUGAUCCCGCCGGACCCGACUGCUAUCGGAUUGGGACUAAGCCAUGCGAGUCAACUCCGCAAGGGGUGGCGCACGGCUCAGUAACACGUAGUCAACCUACCCUGGGGACGGGGAUAACCUCGGGAAACUGAGGCCAAACCCCGAUAGGCCAUGGCUCCUGGAAUGGGCUAUGGCUGAAAUCUAUAUGGCCCCAGGAUGGGACUGCGGCCGAUCAGGUUGUUGGUGGGGUAAUGGCCCACCAAGCCUAUAACCGGUGCGGGCUCUGAGAGGAGGAGCCCGGAGAUGGGCACUGAGACAAGGGCCCAGGUCCUAUGGGGCGCAGCAGGCGCGAAACCUCCGCAAUGGGCGAAAGCCCGACGGGGUCAGUCCGAGUGGUUCCCGCUGAGGGAACCUUUUGCCAGCUGUAAACAGGCUGGCGAAUAAGGGGUGGGCAAGUUUGGUGUCAGCCGCCGCGGUAAUACCAGCACCCCGAGUGGUCGGGACGAUGAUUGGGCCUAAAGCAUCCGUAGCCGGCCCAGUAAGUCCUCCGUUAAAUCCAACGGCUCAACCGUUGGGCUGCGGGGGAUACUGCUGGGCUAGGGGACGGGAGAGGCGAGGGGUAUUCCCGGGGUAGGGGUAAAAUCCACUGAUCCCGGGAGGACCACCAGUGGCGAAGGCGCCUCGCUAGAACGUGCCCGACGGUGAGGGAUGAAAGCUGGGGGAGCGAACCGGAUUAGAUACCCGGGUAGUCCCAGCCGUAAACGAUGUAGGCUCGGUGUUGGGCUGCCUCAGUGGCAGCCCAGUGCCGCAGGGAAGCCGUUAAGCCUACCGCCUGGGGAGUACGGCCGCAAGGCUGAAACUUAAAGGAAUUGGCGGGGGAGCACCACAAGGGGUGAAAGCCUGCG
This 890-nucleotide ribosomal RNA is filed under the name uncultured bacterium. Its description in RNAcentral is "bacterial SSU rRNA". It matches the Rfam family "Archaeal small subunit ribosomal RNA", at positions 1 to 899 of the family's 1478-position model. The record is from RNAcentral.